AUACGGAGGGUGCAAGCGUUGUUCGGAAUCACUGGGCGUAAAGGGCGCGCAGGCGGUUUGGUAAGUCAGAUGUGAAAGCCCACGGCUCAACCGUGGAAGUGCAUUUGAAACUGCCAGACUUGAGUACCAGAGGGGAAAGUGGAAUUCCCGGUGUAGAGGUGAAAUUCGUAGAUAUCGGGAGGAAUACCGGUGGCGAAGGCGACUUUCUGGCUGGAUACUGACGCUGAGGCGCGAAAGCGUGGGGAGCAGACAGGAUUAGAUACCCUAGUAGUCC
This 274-nucleotide ribosomal RNA is filed under the name uncultured bacterium. RNAcentral describes it as "partial 16S ribosomal RNA". It matches the Rfam family "Bacterial small subunit ribosomal RNA", at positions 523 to 796 of the family's 1533-position model. The record is from RNAcentral.